RNAcentral lists this ribosomal RNA (759 nucleotides) under uncultured bacterium. RNAcentral's name for it is "bacterial SSU rRNA". It matches the Rfam family "Bacterial small subunit ribosomal RNA", at positions 28 to 776 of the family's 1533-position model. The record is from RNAcentral.
GAUGAACGCUAGCUACAGGUCUUAACACAUGCAAGUCGAGGGGCAUCAGGAAGAAAGCUUGCUUUCUUUGCUGGCGACCGGCGCACGGGUGAGUAACACGUAUCCAACCUGCCCUUUACUCGGGGAUAGCCUUUCGAAAGAAAGAUUAAUACCCGAUAGUAUAAUGAUUCCGCAUGGUUUCAUUAUUAAAGGAUUCCGGUAAAGGAUGGGGAUGCGUUCCAUUAGGUUGUUGGUGAGGUAACGGCUCACCAAGCCUUCGAUGGAUAGGGGUUCUGAGAGGAAGGUCCCCCACAUUGGAACUGAGACACGGUCCAAACUCCUACGGGAGGCAGCAGUGAGGAAUAUUGGUCAAUGGGCGCUAGCCUGAACCAGCCAAGUAGCGUGAAGGAUGAAGGCUCUAUGGGUCGUAAACUUCUUUUAUAUAAGAAUAAAGUGCAGUAUGUAUACUGUUUUGUAUGUAUUAUAUGAAUAAGGAUCGGCUAACUCCGUGCCAGCAGCCGCGGUAAUACGGAGGAUCCGAGCGUUAUCCGGAUUUAUUGGGUUUAAAGGGAGCGUAGGUGGACUGGUAAGUCAGUUGUGAAAGUUUGCGGCUCAACCGUAAAAUUGCAGUUGAUACUGUCAGUCUUGAGUACAGUAGAGGUGGGCGGAAUUCGUGGUGUAGCGGUGAAAUGCUUAGAUAUCACGAAGAACUCCGAUUGCGAAGGCAGCUCACUGGACUGCAACUGACACUGAUGCUCGAAAGUGUGNGUAUCANACAGG